Molecule: ribosomal RNA, 465 nt
Filed under: uncultured bacterium
Lineage: Bacteria
Description: bacterial SSU rRNA
Rfam family: Bacterial small subunit ribosomal RNA
Source: RNAcentral
CCUACGGGUUGCAGCAGUGGGGAAUAUUGCACAAUGGGCGCAAGCCUGAUGCAGCCAUGCCGCGUGUGUGAAGUAGGCCUUCGGGUUGUAAAGCACUUUCAGCGGGGAGGAAGGCGCCAAGGUUAAUAACCUUGUCGAUUGACGUUACCCGCAGAAGAAGCACCGGCUAACUCCGUGCCAGCAGCCGCGGUAAUACGGAGGGUGCAAGCGUUAAUCGGAAUUACUGGGCGUAAAGUGCACGCAGGCGGUCUGUCAAGUCGGAUGUGAAAUCCCCGGGCUCAACCUGGGAACUGCAUUCGAAACUGGCAGGCUAGAGUCUUGUAGAGGGGGGUAGAAUUCCAGGUGUAGCGGUGAAAUGCGUAGGGAUCUGGAGGAAUACCGGUGGCGAAGGCGGCCCCCUGGACAAAGACUGACGCUCAGGUGCGAAAGCGUGGGGAGCAAACAGGAUUAGAUACCCUCGUAGUC